UACGUAGGGGGCAAGCGUUGUCCGGAUUUAUUGGGCGUAAAGAGCGUGUAGGCGGUUGGGUAGGUCCGUUGUGAAAACUCGAGGCUCAACCUCGAGACGCCGAUGGAAACCCCCCAGCUAGAGUCCGGAAGAGGAGAGUGGAAUUCCUGGUGUAGCGGUGAAAUGCGCAGAUAUCAGGAGGAACGCCAAUGGCGAAGGCAGCUCGCUGGGACGGUACUGACGCUGAGGCGCGAAAGCGUGGGGAGCAAACAGG
This 253-nucleotide ribosomal RNA is filed under the name uncultured bacterium. RNAcentral's name for it is "partial 16S ribosomal RNA". It matches the Rfam family "Bacterial small subunit ribosomal RNA", at positions 524 to 776 of the family's 1533-position model. The record is from RNAcentral.